RNAcentral lists this ribosomal RNA (385 nucleotides) under Pseudanabaena sp. na3. RNAcentral describes it as "bacterial SSU rRNA". It matches the Rfam family "Bacterial small subunit ribosomal RNA", at positions 355 to 757 of the family's 1533-position model. The record is from RNAcentral. Lineage: Bacteria; Bacillati; Cyanobacteriota; Cyanophyceae; Pseudanabaenales; Pseudanabaenaceae.
UGGGGAAUUUUCCGCAAUGGGCGAAAGCCUGACGGAGCAAUACCGCGUGAGGGACGAAGGCCUGUGGGUUGUAAACCUCUUUUGUUAGGGAAGAUAAUGACGGUACCUAACGAAUAAGCAUCGGCUAACUCCGUGCCAGCAGCCGCGGUAAGACGGAGGAUGCAAGCGUUAUCCGGAAUUAUUGGGCGUAAAGCGUACGUAGGCUGUUUAAUAAGUCUGUUGUCAAAGCCCGAGGCUCAACCUUGGAUCGGCAAUGGAAACUGUUAGACUAGAGAGAGAUAGGGGCAGGAGGAAUUCCAGGUGUAGCGGUGAAAUGCGUAGAUAUCUGGAAGAACACCAGUGGCGAAAGCGUCCUGCUGGAUCUCAACUGACGCUGAAGUACGAA